GUACGAAAAAAGCCCGCAUAGGAAAAAAAAACCACCCUCAUGCCUCUCGCCUGGAGCAGUCGAACCGCCUCCUCGCGCUGCCGCCGCAACGGGCCGCAAGCCGUCCGCAGGCGUGCCGCUUCUAGGAUGGUGGCGGAUCCAAAUGGACGACGGCGGCAGCGGGAUCCAACUUCACCUCGCACGCAUCCCCGACCCCCUGCCGGCGGCCGGAUCCGUUCACAGCCACCGUGCGGGUCCCGGCCACCAGGAUCUUCGUCUAGCAACACGAGGCUUCCCUCGCCCGUGGCGCUAGGUCACGGCCUCGCCACCGCUGGCUCGCCAUCCGGGCGUCCGUCCGUCGCUGACUCGGCAUCUCCAACUCUCCCUGCCCAAAAGGCCUCCCCCGACUCCCAGUACGGGCACAGGCGGCAUCGGGCAGCCCCCAAUCGGUAGGGAUUUUGUCCCAACUCCACCCCAAAUUUGUGUUGUUUGAUGUUAUUUCUCUUGCCUCCGUCGCCGUCUCACGAAGCCUCAGCAGCUGCCAUCGCCGUGUGAUUCGAUCAGCAGAUUUUCGAAAGGUACAAUACUUCGGUCCCCUGAUGCUCCCUUUUCUGAAAUAGAUUUUUGUAUGAUAAGCUUUCCACUGCACUGACAUUAUCUUUAUGCAUUAGCAUCUCUUUUCGAGGAUCAGUCAUGCUAUGGGAUGAGAGUGGAAUGCAUACUGAUGAUAGAGUUUGGACACGCAAUCGUCAUAAACCAUAUUACAAUUUCUCAAAAUACGUGGAUGAUUGGAUGUUUAGUUAUUCCAACUUUGCGUGAUUCUGUGUAUGAGACAGAAACUAGCUGUAGAAUGGCGCCAUAAACUACAUGAACAUUCUCUGCUUUUCCUCAAUAUUUCCGUCUGAAUAGUCUUGAAUUAUAAGCAAAUAUCUCCGCAUCUGAUUCUUUCCCUGAAUUAUCUAUAACCAUGUCUAUUUUAUCCAGAAAAAUAAUUUGCAAUUUUGCUAAAUUUGAUAUAUGUUUAGAUGCUCGCAUCUUCUUGUUCUCCAAGUGAUUAGCCGCACAUAUUUGCUGAUUUUGUUGAAGUUCUUUUAAUACCCUGAGACUGUUCCUAUUUUAAUUUUUCAGGUGCAUCAAAAGAAUUAUAUACAUUUAUGUGUGCAUUGCUAUGUAGAAGAUAUCCUUAUUUAAAUUACCAAGUUGCUUGAGUAUACAAUUUCUACCAGCUUCAUUUGGAAAGGGUAAUAUCUUCCAUACAAUUGGCAAAUGGAUUUUAAUAUGUAUCUUGCUAUUUAUGUGAUUUCAAUUAACUCUUGCAUGUCAGGUCAAUCUGAGAAAUUGAACAUUAAAACCCGUGGUUGGAUUCUUCUGUUUCUUUGGUACAUGCAAGGCAAUAAAUAUAGGUGAAAAUAAGUAAGAGGGGCAAUAAGCAUCAAAACAUACAUCAUAUUGGACAGAACAGGAAGCAACAUAUUUAUAGCUAAAUCUGGAUGCUGUGUCAUUUCAUUCUCGUGCACGGCUGAAACUUUUGUGAAUUGAAAGCUCACAUAGCCUACAUAUCACUUUUAGCUAUGGACAAAGAUCUCACUAUAGUUAGAUUCAGUCGAAGAACUCUGGGUACUUAGGUCAGCACUUCCAGUUAAAAUAUCCUUAGGUUCAUCUUUCAUGUGAUUCUGGUCUGUAAUUUUCCCUGUCAUGCUGAUUUAGUCUAUAAUCAUGUGCGAUUUUGAGUUGCUUGUUUUCCCUUUCUAAUUUAUGCAGAAAACAACUAGGUACUAUAAGGGCAUCUUUCAUGCUUUGUCUACAAUUUGUAGAGAUGAGGGUGGCAAAUUAUUGUAUAGGUCUUGGGCCACGUUAUUGGACAUGACGAGCUGCACCAUGGUGGUCAAUUUGCUGCACGACAUCACCGAAGGGAUGGCUUCAGAUGAGUUAAUAACUUCAAAGGUCGUAACAAUGUUUGUAUAUGAAGGAAAUGUUACAUGCCUCAUGAUGACUUAUUUAAUUUGUUUUUAUGCUUAUUAUUAUAUUUGGCUAUGGUGCUUGUAUUCUUGUGCUGUUUAUUUGUGUCUUUUAGGAUUUUACUGAUGUAUUGAUAGUUUGAUCAAUUUAUCUUGUGCAUUAUGUGUGGUACAUUAA
Molecule: long non-coding RNA, 2115 nt
Organism: Brachypodium distachyon (stiff brome)
Lineage: Eukaryota; Viridiplantae; Streptophyta; Magnoliopsida; Poales; Poaceae
Exons: 2
Source: RefSeq, a predicted model, not a curated record